UACGUAGGGGGCAAGCGUUGUCCGGAAUCAUUGGGCGUAAAGAGCGUGUAGGCGGCUUGGUAAGUCCGCUGUGAAAGUCCAGGGCUCAACCCUGGAAAGCCGGUGGAAACUGUCAAGCUUGAGUCCGGAAGAGGCGAGUGGAAUUCCCGGUGUAGCGGUGAAAUGCGCAGAUAUCGGGAAGAACACCCGUGGCGAAGGCGGCUCUCUGGGACGGUACUGACGCUGAGACGCGAAAGCGUGGGGAGCGAACAGG
This 253-nucleotide ribosomal RNA is filed under the name uncultured bacterium. Its description in RNAcentral is "partial 16S ribosomal RNA". It matches the Rfam family "Bacterial small subunit ribosomal RNA", at positions 524 to 776 of the family's 1533-position model. The record is from RNAcentral.